UUUGCUUUACAAUUCCAAUGAAGCCUCAACCUUCUCAUGAAAUGCUUUGGUUACACUGAAUUUGCUUCAUCUUCUUGCCAUGAGAAGCAACUUUUAUCCCAAUACAUAACAUAUCUAUAUGCAUACACUUGAAGACAUUCAUGUUCAACUUUCUCCCAUUGAUGGGUCAGAAGUCUCCCAUGCACAAUAAUUACAAAACCUG
Molecule: unclassified non-coding RNA, 202 nt
Filed under: Hevea brasiliensis (rubber tree)
Lineage: Eukaryota; Viridiplantae; Streptophyta; Magnoliopsida; Malpighiales; Euphorbiaceae
Source: RNAcentral